GCUGUAGGGAGGAGAAGAAGAAAUUCUGCAUUCACUCUGUAGGAUUAAAGCGGGCUUUAUUCUCCUAGUCUCGCCAGGGGAAGAGCAAAUGCUGAGAUCCUCACCUGAGCAGAGACGGCUGGCAGAAGGCCAGGAGCAAGACAGGGAGGCCACUAGGUGGCACAGGCUCUGAUGGUGCAUGCACGCUGAAAGAAGCAGAAUUCCAGACAGUGAGCCCUGGGAGAGGUGGGUCUAAAUUGUGGACUGUCUGGAGGGCUGAGUUAUGGGAAGAGAGAACGUCACAGGAAGCUUUGUCAGGGACACUAGAGAGGCAAGAGCCUGCUACACCACAUUCAGCUAUGAGGAGGCAUUCUAGCCGUGAGUUCUCUCUCUCCAACCACUUUCAUCUCCAGUAUCUGCUACUAUAUAACAAAGAAUUCCUUUGAGAGAAAUGGGAGACGGUUCAAGCUUAACUCAAUGCUAUUGUUCCAGGUUCUCUGCAAACUCCAGCACAGAUUAUUGAAUGGGUUCAUAUUUUGAAGGUUAUCUUUGCUAAAAAUAAAGGGCUGAAGAAUUAUUAUUUAAUAAAAAUCUGAUCCUGGAUCACAAUUAUGUUCAGGGCUUUGUGAGGAUCUGCUGGUCUGGAACAUGGAACUGCAAGUUCCUAGGCAGUUGCUGUGUCCACACUGCCACCUCCGUUGAAAUUGAAAACAGCAGCCUAUGAUCCCUACAGGUUCAAACAACCUGAGAUGUCCUGCCCAUGGAGGUUCUUACUGGUAAAGCCUACUGUGUUUCCUGAUUUCCCGAGGUCUUAAAUAGUGUGCCUGGGCCAAACACCUGCAACCUGUCUGUGCAAUUAGACAGAUACCUGGCUUGCUGCUGAGAACAAACCUUGCUCUGCACUCCUGAGGCCUUGCCUUGCUCCUGGUAUCUGGCCUACUCCUAGUCCUGGUUCCUGAUCCUUGGCUCUGCUCCUGAUGUCUUGCCUUCCCUCAGUUCCUGGCCCCCAGCUCCACUCCUGACUUCUUGCCGUGCCUCCGUUCCUACUUAAACUGAUUCACUUGACUCUGACCUGGUGCAGCUCAUCAACCUCGACUAUGACUUGAUCCUAUGGCACAACACUGGGAUGGACAGCUACUCUGGCCAUCACCCUGUGGAGACUGAACUCAGACCACAUUCUCAUGUCUGCUCCAACCAGGCUCUGGCCUUCAUCUGCUCUUCCUCCCUCCCCACAGUAGCUGGGGUCCUGACAGCUUCCAAUUUUUUACUUUUAAUCAAUAAACAUUUGAUUAAAUACCCCAAUACAAAAAAAAGGUGUUUAUCCAAUGAACACCAGAAAUGGUUACUUGUACCCAAAGUCUUGUCUACAUGGAGCAGUAAUGCAGACUAUGUUUUUAAGCUAACAAAUGUGUGUAAGAGCAGGACCAAUUUAACUUAAAUUUAUUCUAUAAUGCUUUUUUUGUACACACAAACAUUCAGAACCUGAAAACUACAUUGAUUUGGGAGUUGCUAGCAGUACCAAAAUAGCUCCUAGGAACCAGCAGGGAGUUUUAGGCCAAGGUUUUCAAAACUGUCUAAGGGAUUUUUGGAAGCUCAAUUCCCAUUAAAACAAAAGAGAGAGAAGCAUCAAACCCCCUAUGCACCUUUUGAAAGCGCUGUGUUUAAGGCAGCUGGGUUGCCUUAAAGUAGCUGGUGAAGCAGGACACAAACUGAAGAACGUGGUGGUAUGUUCAAGCUCUGCUCAAAUGAGGUACCAGCACUAUUGAUGAUGCAGAUGUUCAAAAUCUAAUAUGCAAGCUCGGCUGGUCCUUUCACAGUGGGAGGGAGCAAGCUCAGAUAUGACUUUGGGCUGUAUUAGGGUGGAGGCAGCUUAGCCCAGCUACCAGACUCAUGUUAUGGUGUCAGAAUCUAAGCAUUUAUUAACAAAAAAGUAUGCUUCUAGCCCUUGUGGCAGUAAACAAAAGUAUGAAAACGUGAAGUAAGUAUAACUAAUGUCUGCCUGUGUCUGCAGCGUUCUACAUGUAGACAAGCCCACAGAGUUUUCUCUCUCUCUCCACUUGAAAUUCCUGGAUACAGCCUGGC
Chelonia mydas (Green sea turtle) is the source of this 2061-nucleotide long non-coding RNA. RefSeq lists it as uncharacterized. The record is from RefSeq and is a predicted model, not a curated record. The transcript is spliced from 3 exons. Lineage: Eukaryota; Metazoa; Chordata; Testudines; Cheloniidae.